RNAcentral lists this unclassified non-coding RNA (279 nucleotides) under plant metagenome. RNAcentral describes it as "partial contains small subunit ribosomal RNA, internal transcribed spacer 1, and 5.8S ribosomal RNA". The record is from RNAcentral.
UUUCCGUAGGUGAACCUGCGGAGGGAUCAUUACAGAGUUCUCUUCCUGGCGGGUAGUUCUCCCACCCCCAGUUAUCGUUACAGUUGUUUCUUUGGCGGGCCGCCGUGUUCCCGUCAGCCAGCGCCUUACUGUCUGCUCGCGCUCUCCAGAGGCCCUCUAACCCGGAGUGUUAGUGUUUGCUACAUACUAUUUAAUAGCUAAAACUUUCAACAACGCAUCUCUUGGUACUGGCACCGAUCAGAAAAGCAGCCGACUGGACGACAGCACCCAUUAACCCCC